CCCAACAAGGGCACUGCGACACGGGCCCUACUCCUACGGGAGGCAGCAGUCGAGAAUAUUGGGCAAUGGGGGAAACCCUGACCCUGCGACGCCGCGUGCUCGAAGAAGCCCUUCGGGGUGUAAAGAGCUUUUCUAAGGGAAGAACCUUCGGGUGACGGUACCUUAGGAAUAAGGGGGUGCUAACUCUGUGCCAGCAGCAGCGGUAAUACAGAGCCCCCAAGCGUUAUCCGGAUUUAUUGGGCGUAAAGCGUCUGUAGGCGCUCCGUCAGGUUUUCUGUUAAAUCUCUAGGGCUUAACCUUAGAGCUGCAGAAAAAACCGGCGGAGUAGAGGGCGUUAGAGGCUGAUGGAAUGGUCGGUGUAGGGGUGAAAUCCGUUGAUAUCGACCGGAACACCAAAUGCGAAGGCAUUCAGCUGGGGCGACCCUGACGCUGAGAGACGAAAGCGUGGGUAGCAAAAAGGAUUAGAUACCCUUGUAGUCCACGCUGUAAACGAUGGACACUGGCUAUCUGAAGUGUCGACCCUUCAGGUGGCGAAGCUAACGCGUUAAGUGUCCCGCCUGGGAAGUACGACGGCAACGUUAAAACUCAAAGGAAUAGACGGGGAUUCACACAAGCGGUGGACCAUGUGGCUCAAUUCGACGACAAACGAGGAACCUUACCAGGGCUUGACAGGCUAGUGAAAAGUUGAGGAAACUCGACUCUACCCACAAGGACACUAGCCCAGGUGCUGCAUGGUUGUCGUCAGCAUGUAUCUUGAGACGCUCCCUUAAAUGGGGUAACAUGCGCAACCCUUGCCCUAUGUUUAAUUUGUCAUAG
RNAcentral lists this ribosomal RNA (816 nucleotides) under marine sediment metagenome. Its description in RNAcentral is "SSU rRNA". It matches the Rfam family "Bacterial small subunit ribosomal RNA", at positions 306 to 1129 of the family's 1533-position model. The record is from RNAcentral.